ACCUCAUAGACUGCAGUACAAGUACAACCAACUAAAACAUAAAUAGUGCAGCUAAAAGGUUGAGAUGGUGAGUACUAAGCAUUCAUUCAACACGACCUCGAUUCUCCUCUACUGAAAUGCCCAUUGGUUCUCCCUGCGGAUCUUCUCCUCCUCCUCUGGCAAGUAGUCAUUCUUGAUGUUGAAGAAAUUACGGAUCUCCUCUGGAAUUUUGCCACGAAUCAUGUCGGCAACAGUCUGGCAAGUCAGGUCCAACAACCCCUCGAUCUUGAGGUAACUUGCAGCAUGAGAGGGGGCAAAAAGAACCAUAGUGUCGUGGAAUUGUCACGGCAGAUGUCCUCGUGCUAGGACUUAGUCGUGGAGCCAUCGCAGCUAGGAAGCUUAAAGGGGUUAAACGGGACAAGGAACACGAGGGUUAUACUGGUUCGGCCCCUUACGGUGAAGGUAAAAGCCUACGUCCAGUUGAGGUGGUAUUGAUUAGGGUUUCGAUGACCAGGGAGCUUAAUUGCUAUGCCUGGCUCUCGACGAGAUCUCACUUGUCCUUAAACCGCCGCUGGGUCGCCCCUUUAUAUAGAGAGGUUGACGCCCAGCGGCUCUCAGAGUCCCGGCCGGCUCAUAAGAGUGUCCGGCUCGGACUCUCAACUAUUCUUGCCUUACACUACAAGUUCUACCAUAAUGGCGGUUAUCACUACGGGCCUUAAGCCAUCUCCGGGUCUUAGGCCCAUCAUUGACCCACCGUCUUCAAGCUUGGUACUGGGCUUCACGUGAUGACCAUUAUGAGUAACCCGGCCCCUCCUGGCGGGUGACUCUAAGGGUUAUAUCCUCAACAUUAGGCCCCAGAUUGAUUUGAACCGGUUCAUGUCAAUCUUCAAUUCUUUUGAGAGAGAAAAAUCUUCCGGCUUAUGGUCGUGUGAAAGUUAUAACCCGCCGUGACGUCAUCUUUUGGAUUCCUGGUAACCCUCCAUGACAUCAUCUUCCAUUAAGUCCAUUUUUUACUCCACCAUAUCCGGAACGGAUCUUAUCUUUUAAUUGCCGUCCUGAAAAUCGAGGCGUUUUUAUGGCGAGAUAACCACGCCGUGGCCUCCUCGUUUCUCGCGCCCACUUAUGAGCCUCAUCUUAUAAAUAGCCCGGCCCAUAAGCCUCUGGCCACUCGUCGCCUCCAUCUUCUUCCUCCUCUCGCCACUGUGCUGCCGCCCGAGCUCCGCCGCCGCCGCCGCGGGUUUCUUCGUCUUCACCAACUCAGGCCGCUGCAUCAACCUGACGUGACCAGAGAAACGCGACGAACCCCGCCGUAACUCCGCACCUGUAAGUCCCUGCUCCUCUCCAUCGUAGAUCCGCAUUAGGGUCCCACUGUUCUUCGCUGUUCUUCGCUGUUCUUCACAAGUUCCCUGUAGUUCGGCCACUAUGGUCAUGUUUUGAUCCAAGAGUAGCACAGAUCUCCUGCGGUAGUUGUUGUUCAUCCAUUUUUCCACUAGUAGAUCCCCUUUGUUUGAAAUAAGAUCCCACUCUGAAUCCAUGAACUUCUUCUGCGUCAGUUCUAGGUCUAGAAAAUUUUCUCUUUAGCCAACCGUUUAGAUCCAAAAUAAUUACUGCGAUCUGGGAAACUUGUUUUCACCACACUUAGUGAAAAAUUGCAUCUGCUGAGUUAUGGCGGCUUACAUUUCCGGCUCAAAGAAGCCAUGCGCCGUAAAUUUUCCGGCUCAUUUAUGAUAAAGCUGUAGACAAUUUGAAUUACUCACGAUACCUUCAGCGGCUUAGAUAACCCGAUGCACUUAACCAUAUGUCAUUAGGCCCCUCUCAUAAGCCGCCAUUGAGUAUUAAACUGUAGACGUCUGCCGGCUUAUAAUUAAACCGGACAUUUUCCUUUUGUCAUAGGCUUCAUCUUUCACAAUGCCUCCCAAAGCUCCCAAGGCACCCAUCACAUGCAACUGGAUGAGGUCCAACGUCACCGACGACACCUUAGCUGAUUUCGUAAAAAUGGGUUACUUGCCCAAGAAAGAGAUCAUGUCUUAUCGUGCCCCUGACCCGUCGGAGGAGAGACCUCAACCCAGAGAUGGUGAGGUGGUUAUAUUUGCUGAUCACAUGAGCCGGGGCUUCGCACCGCCUGGCUCAAAAUUCUUUAGGGAUGUUCUGAACUUCUUUGAUCUGCGGCCACAAGACAUAGGACCUAAUUCCGUGUCAAAUAUAUGCAACUUCCAAGUAUUCUGCGAAGUCUAUCUUGGAGAAGAGCCCAGCCUACUGCUUUUUAGGGAGCUGUUCUAUCUAAACCGCCAGAACGAGUGCGCCAAUGGGCCGAGCUUGGAACUUGGUGGAAUCUCCAUUCAACGACGGAGAGAUUGCCUUUUUCCUUACGCUGAGCCGCCAAGCCACCCGAAGGACUGGAACCAGACGUGGUUCUACUGCCAAGACACUUCUCCGGCUGACGAGAGCCCUCUGCCCGGCUUUCGUGCCGCACGUCUGGAGCCAAGUCACCCCCUGCCGGAUAAGCUAACUCAAGCCGAGCGUCAACCUCUGAUCCCCAUCAUCAACAGAAUUAAAGCUCUCCUGGGAAAUGGCCUCAACGGCAUUGAUCUGGUCCGGGUCUGGAUCUCCUGGCGGGUGAUCCCUUUGAGCCGCCGCCCCGGCUUAAUGUGUGCUUACACGGGCCGGAAGGAUGACCCUCUGCGGCACAGUCCCAAUGAUCUUCCUGAGGAUGUUGUGGACGACAUGACCAAGUCUCUCCUGAAUGAGAGCUUAGCCGACUGUGGGAGAACCGGCCUGCCCCCUUCUGCCAAGCUAACCCGGCUCCGGCGGUAAGCCACUGACCUGAACACCUUGGUUUUCCUUUGAAUAGUUUCCAUCUGAACUUUAAGAAAUCUUUGUUGUAUGUUUCAGGCUAAUGACAAGUUCUGGAAGGUCAAAUAUGACCAUGAGGCGGCCAAAAAAGCCAAGAAAGCUAAGAAAGCCGCCAGGAGAGCCGCCCCUCGCAAGAAGGGAAGCAGGCCUACUGCCUCAGAGCUGCUUCAGCUAAGUGAUAGCUCCGAGUCAGAGGUAACCCUUGAUUCCUCAGGCUCUUAUCCUGCUUUUCAUCUGUUUUUAACUAUCUCACUGACUUGAUUAUUCGCAGGAUGAUACCGGAGCAAGUAACCCGGUGAUUGAAGAGGUAACGACACUUUCCUCCGACUCGGAGCCCUUGCCAAGGCUGAAAGUCUGAAGAGUAACCCGGAAAGUAAGAUUUUCACAUCCUUUAGCUUAUCAAGAUCCUCAAUUUCUUUUGAAGCAACAGAUUCAUGAGAGCCGGUGGCACACCCGGACCAGCAAGGAUGCAGACCUCUCCACCGGCUUACCUGAAGCAUCAAGGAAGAGCCGGACUGAGGUUAUCUCCAACUUAUAUCCUUUUCACCCUUUGGCGGGCGUUAUUCGUCAACCGCUCAAUUCUUCUGAUUCAAAUUAUCAGGAAACUUCACCUUCCUCUGGUGAUUCUAUGCAAUCGAACCUGCCGGCUUUCAAGACCGCCCCCGGGUAACAAUGAUCAUCUUAUGUUGUACUUAUCUUUACUCAUGCUUCUGUACUAACCUUUUGUCCUUUCGGUGCCCGGGCAAAGCUCAGCAAGAGGGCGAAGAAGAAUAAACCGGUCGAAGAGCCGGUCGUGACUGAGCCGGAGGUUUCAGCUCAAGAGCCGCCAGCUGCCUCUGCUCCUGAAGCCACCGCUCCAACCGCCGAGCCAAUCACCGAGACUUCAGCUAACCCGGAGAUCUCCAGCCCAGCUCAGCCGGCCGAUGACCCGGACGUGGUAAUCACCCGGACGGAAUUUGUCGAGCCGGGGAGACCCACUGCGCUGGCUAAGUGCUCUGCCAAGGAAGAGCUGCUAGAGCGCCGCAGGGCCAAGCUGGACAUCACCAACUAUGCUAACUUGAGCAUUGGAGAGAUCAUCUCCGGCUACGUCAAUCAGGUGCACAACAGCCGGGACCUGGAGAUUGACAUGGUGAAGCAGAUACAGCAGAAGUCUGAGGUACCACUCUAGUGCUUACUGCAUAGUCAUCUUUACCAUACUAGCCCCCAAGUCUACUACUUAUGAUAGAAUAUGUUGUAGACUUAACUUCCGGCUUACUUCCAUGAACCGGUAAUUUAUAGAUAGAAACUUUCGACAUGCAUUAGCCCCCAAGUGCCAAGUGUCUUUGCUUGGAAAGUGCUUGGGACUUUAAAAUUGCAUAAUAAUUAUUCAUACUAUAACCCGGAAAUUGUACAGGCUGCUUGCAAGAAACUUGAGGCUGAUAUCUCUGAGGUGAAGAACCGCCUGAAGACUCAGGAAACUGAGACCCGGAAGGCCAACGCCAAAUUUGAAUCCAGUAUUGCUGCUCAAGAGAAGCUGAAGAAGAAGUUUGAAGCUGAAAGGAAGACUUGGGCCGAAGAGAAGGCUGCUCUGGUAAGCCGGGCCGAACAGGCGGAGAAGGCUCUGACGGAGAGAACCGCCGAACUCUCUGGCUUAAAGCGCCAUGUGUCACAGAUGGUCGCCGCAAUCUUCGGUAAGUCAUUCUGCAGACUUUCAACAAGUUUAUAUUCUCUAUGUCUCAUAAUUCCCAUCAUUGCUAGCGGCUUACCUGACGUUGCAAAACAGGUCCCAGAAGCGCCAACCUCAACAAAAAUGUAUUGACCAAGCUGAAGGCCGUGUACACUUUGGUGGAACAACUUUACACCGGGUCACAGCGCGCCUUGGCCGUUGUGGCCCUGUCCAAUGAGGUUUCGACUCACCUGGCGGACGUACUUCGCCGGCUUGCCGUUCUUCCUCAACGUUUCCAAGAGCUGCGACGGGCUUCUGCAAGAGCCGGAGCCAUAGCUGCUCUGAGCCGGGCCAAGGCUUUCCUUCCAGAGCUAGACCCGGCUGACAUCGCACUUGGAUAUCCCAGCUUGAAGGAAGACGGCACCCCCUUCGACCAAAAAGACUUUGCCGCCUGCGUGAAGAUCGUACGCCCGGUGGCCACCCAGAUUGGGAAUGACACCGACCUUACCAAGUACCAGCCGGGCUAUGACCCAGAGAAUCAGAGGAUCCCCACUCCGCGUUAUGAAGCCGUCAGCUUGGUCCCGCCGACUCGUAAGCACACCUUUGCCCCAGAAAUUGACCCGGCCGGGUUAAUUGACGAGGAGGCUCAAUUUGAAGCUUUGAGCGGCAUUGACUGGAAAUCGUCAACCUUCCAGGUCAUGGGAUCAGCCGGAGGAGCGGAGAGGGAUGAGCCGGAAGCUUCAACCCGGCAAGCAUCUUGACUCUUUAGGCAGCCCAUGAUAAUGCUUGUUAAACAAUGCUUCACCCUUUUGGACUCGGGGAGUCUUGUAAUAGAGUAGGACCAACAUUUUAACUUUGUCGUGCCAUCGUGCACGUGUUGAAUGCUUAACUCCAUUGAAGUUGCUUCCUUAUAUUUCUCCGGGUCAUAAUUGAUCAUUUAUUUUCCUUAAGCUCGAAUAGCUGUAUUAAACCAUCCUGCAUAGAAAACAAGUCGCAAGUCUCUGGGCGGCUUACCGCACUGAGAAUCAUAAACCAUAUAUAUAUAACCCGGAAUAUGAACAAAGUCACCAAAGACUGGCCCUCAAUUAUAUUUUUGAUGUAACCAUAACGGCAUGCUUACGAGCCUUCGAACACAGUUCCGGCUUAUAUAACCCGAAUGAUGAGGCGAAGAUCUCAAUUCCGGUUUACCAGCGUCAAGAAUACUUACUGCAUGUUUAUCAACAUUGUGAAUCAAAAGUAAGCCGGCAAAAGAAAAGUCGCCCUUGCACACUGUUGAUGUGACCAACAGAACUUGUUGUAAGUCAAAAGAUCCAAAACUUAGGGGCUUCCGGUUCGAAUACGACCAGAGAACCGUCCCAAAGGGGUUAAGAUAAGAUUCGAAUGCGAUCAUAUAGCCCCCAGUGGCUUUGGCGAUGCCGAUCAAGAGGGUACCGACAGCUAUGUUCUCUUUGGUUCGAAUACGACCCAUGUUUGAACAGGAAGCCCCCAAAUGACCUUAAGAGUUGUUUAACGAUGCUGAUUCGAAUACGAUCCACGUCGGUUCCCAAAGGGGGUUGAGCUAUGAUUCAAAUAUGAUCAAAGAAAACUCCCCAAUGAGCUCGGCACUUUGCCAAUCAAGUGGGUAUCGACAGCUAUGUUCUCUUUGGUUCGAAUACGACCUAUGUUUGAACAGGAAGCCCCCAGGUGACUAUAUUGUUGAACGGCAAGAUUCGAAUACGAUCAUAAGCCGGAUCCACCUCCAAGUUACCAUGUGACCUUGUAAUGGAAACAACACAUUUACCUUUGGAGGAGAAAAAAGGACAGAGGUCUUGCUUUAUUGCUUAUCAUAAUAUAUACAUGGCUAUAGAAAUAUGUACAUUAUGAGAGCCGACGGCUCAAGUGUAAUAAGGCCGAAGUUGAGCUAUGUUCCACGGACGACGGGUCUCUUCCUCCGACUUACGUGAAUCUUUAUGCUCCCGAACGUCAAUAAGGUAGUAUGACCCGUUGUGUAAGUUCUUGCUGACCACAAAGGGCCCUUCCCAAGGCGGGGAUAGCUUGUGCGCAUCUGUUUGAUCCUGGAUGAGCCGGAGCACCAGGUCACCUUCUUGAAAGACCCGGGACUUAACCCGGCGACUGUGAUAACGGCACAGGUCUUGUUGGUAAAUCGCUGAACGAGCUGUUGCCACGUCAUGCUGUUCGUCCAACAAGUCAAGAGCAUUUUGGCGCGCCUGUUCAUUAUCCGCCUCAACAUAAGCCGCCACUCGAGGCGAGUCAUGACGGAUGUCACUGGGGAGGACUGCUUCCGCUCCAUAAACCAUGAAGAAGGGCGUGUAACCCGUAGACCUGUUAGGAGUAGUAUUGAUGCUCCAUAACACGGAGGGUAGCUCCUCCACCCAACAACCCGGCGUCCGUUGCAAAGGGACCAAAAGCCGAGGCUUGAUGCCUUUCAGAAUCUCCUGAUUAGCUCUCUCCGCUUGACCAUUGGAUUGAGGGUGAGCCACUGAUGAAACAUCAAGUCGAAUAUGCUCUCGUUGACAAAACUCCUCCAUGGCGCCUUUAGACAGAUUGGUACCAUUGUCGGUUAUAAUGCUGUGUGGAAAGCCAAAGCGAAAUAUCACCGUCUUCAUGAACUGAACCGCCGUGGCUGCGUCACACUUGCUAACUGGCUCUGCUUCAACCCACUUUGUGAAUUUGUCAACUGCCACCAAGAGGUGGGUCUUCUUAUCCUUGGACCUUUUAAAAGGCCCAACCAUAUCAAGCCCCCAGACCGCAAAUGGCCAAGUGAUUGGUAUCAUCCUCAGCUCCUGAGCCGGCACAUGAGCCCGUCGUGAGAACCUUUGGCAACCAUCACAUUUACUGACCAAGUCCUUCACAUCAGCAUGAGCCAUCAGCCAAUAAAAACCAUGACGAAAAGCUUUGGCCACAAGGGAUUUUGAGCCGGCAUGAUGGCCACAAUCCUCUUCGUGAAUCUCACGCAAGAUUUCUUGACCCUCCUCAGGGGAAACACAACGCUGGAAUGCUCCCGUAACACUGCGGCGAUGCAACUCACCACUGAUAACAACCAUUGACUUAGACCGCCGGGUUAUUUGUCUGGCCAAAGUUUCAUCCUCAGGCAAAUCUCCCCGGGUCAUGUAAGCCAAGUAUGGCACUGUCCAGUCCGGGGUGAUGUGGAGAGCCGCCACCAACUGUGCCUCCGGGUCAGGGACAGCCAAAUCUUCCUCUGUAGGUACCUUAACAGAAGGGUUAUGCAAGAUGUCUAGGAAAGUAUUAGGUGGCACCGGUUUUCGCUGAGAGCCCAGCCGACUUAAUGCAUCAGCCACCUCGUUCUUCCUGCGAUCGAUGUGCUCUACUUGGUAACCCUGAAAGUGUCCAGCAAUGGCAUCAACUUCACGGUGAUAAGCCGCCAUGAGAGGGUCCUUGGAAUCCCACUUGCCUGAUACUUGUUGAGCCACUAAGUCUGAGUCGCCGAAGCACCUUACCCGGCUCAAGCUCAUCUCCUUAGCCAUCCGAAGACCAUGGAGCAAGGCCUCGUACUCAGCCGCAUUGUUAGUGCAAGGAAACAUCAACUGUAGCACAUAAUGAAACUUGUCACCUUUAGGGGAAGCCAAUACAACUCCAGCCCCUGAGCCCUCCAAUUGCCUGGACCCAUCGAAGUGAAUAGUCCAAUAUGUGUUAUCCGGCCUUUCUUCGGGCACUUGUAGCUCUGUCCAAUCAUUGAUGAAAUCCACCAAAGCUUGAGAUUUAACAACAGUACGUGGUACAUAUUUCAGACCAUGAGGCCCAAGCUCUAUAGCCCACUUAGCCACUCUCCCUGUGGCUUCUCUGUUUUGGAUGAUAUCUCCAAGGGGAGCAGAACUAACCACCGUAAUGGGGUGACCCUGAAAAUAGUGCUUAAGCUUCCGGCUUGCCAUGAACACACCAUAAACAAGCUUCUGCCAAUGCGGAUACCGCUGUUUGGACUCGAUGAGCACCUCACUGACGUAAUAAACCGGCCGCUAAACCGGAUAUUCCUUACCCUCUUCCUUGCGCUCCACCACCACAGCCACACUGACGGCUCGUGUGUUAGCAGCUACAUACAGUAAUAAGGGCUCUUUGUCAACCGGAGAAGCAAGGACUGGGGGCUCCGCCAGCUGUCUCUUCAAAUCCUCAAAAGCAGUAUUAGCAGCAUCAUUCCAGACAAAGUCAUCAGUUUUCUUCAUCAACUGGUAUAGUGGCAUGGCCUUCUCACCCAAAUGGCUUAUAAACCGGCUUAAAGCAGCGAUACGACCCGCCAGGCGCUCGACGUCGUUUAUACACGCCGGCUUAGCCAGAGAGGUGAUUGCCUUAAUCUUCUCCGGGUUAGCUUCAAUGCUUCUAUUAGAAACCAAGAAACCCAAGAGCUUGCCCGCAGGAACACCAAAAACACACUUGGUCGGGUUAUGCAUCAUCUUGUAGACCCGGAGAUUAUCAAAGGUUUCCCUCAGAUCAUCUAUAAAGGUUUCCUUCUCCCUGGACUUAACCACAAUAUCAUCCACAUAGGCAUGAACAUUGCGCCCAAUCUGGUUAUGAAGACAGUUCUGCACGCAACGCUGAUAAGUCGCCUGUGCACUCUUGAGUCCAAAAGGCAUAGACACAUAACAGAAGGCUCCAAAGAGAGUGAUGAACGCCAUCUUCUCCUGGUCCUUAACUGCCAUGUUAAUCUGAUGGUAUCCAGAAUAUGCAUCCAAGAAACUUAAACGCUCACAACCCGCCGUAGCAUCAAUGAUUUGAUCAAUACGGGGAAGGGCAAAAGGAUCAGCCGGACAUGCCUUGUUUAAGUCCGUGUAGUCCACACACAUCUGCCAGGUGCUAUUCUUCUUGAGCAUGAGCACCGAGUUAGUUAACCACUCUGGGUGAAAGACUUCAACAAUAAACCCGGCCGCCAAGAGCCGGGCCACCUCCUCACCAAUGGCUUUCCGCCUCUCUUCAUUAAACCAUCGAAGGAAUUGCCUGACCGGCUUAAAUUUCGGAUCAACAUUGAGAGUGUGCUCAGCGAGUUCUCUAGGUACACCUGGCAUGUCAGAAGGUUUCCAUGCAAAUAUGUCCCUGUUCUCACGGAUGAACUCGAUGAGCACGCUUUCCUAUUUCGGAUCCAAAUUGGCACUGAUACUGAACUACUGAGACGAGUCACCUGGAACGAAAUCAACAAGUUUAGUCUCAUCAGCUGACUUAAAUUUCAUUGCCGGCUCAUGUUCCGUGGUCGGCUUUUUCAGAGAUGUCAUAUCUGUUGGGUCAACAUUAUCCUUGUAAAACUUCAGCUCCUCCGUUGCACAAACAGAUUCUGCAUAAGCCGCGUCACCUUCCUCACACUCCAAGGCUACCUUUCGGCUACCAUGAACCGUAAUGGUCCCAUUGUGACCCGGAAUCUUGAGCUGUAGGUAUACGUAACACGGCCGUGCCAUGAACUUGGCGUAAGCCGGCUGUCCAAAUAUGGCAUGAUACGGACUUCUUAUCUUGACCACCUCAAAGUUCAACUUUUCCACCCUGUAAUUGUACUCAUCUCCAAAGGCCACUUCCAUUCGAUGUUACCAACUGGAUAAGCCGACUUACCAGGCACCACACCAUGGAAAACAGUAUUGGACUGGCUGAGGUUCUUAUCAAUCAACCCCAUACGAUGGAAGGUCUCAUAAUAGAGGAUGUUGAUGCUGCUGCCUCCGUCCAUGAGCACCUUAGUGAACUUAUAUCCUCCCACCUGAGGAGCCACCACCAGGGCCAAGUGACCCAGGUUGUCAACCCGGGGAGGGUGAUCCUCCCUAUUCCACACAAUAGGCUGCUCAGACCAUCUUAAAUAACGUGGAACCGCCGGCUCAACAGCAUUCACAUCCCUCUUUUGAAGCUUCUGAUCUCGCUUACACAGACUGGUGGUAAAUACGUGAUACUGUCCACCGUUAAGCUGCUUUGGAUUGGUCUGAUAACCCCCCUGCUGCUGUUGAUGACCCUGGCCAGACUGCUGAUUAAAGCCCCCUGGACCGUUCUGAGGAUUAGGAUUUGAGCCGCCGCCCGGGCCAUGAAAACCGCCAGCGCCUGAGCCGCCGCCCGGGCCAUUGUUGCCAUUAAAGGCAUUGGAAUUCUUAAAGGCCUUCAUGAUUGCGCAAUCCUUCCAUAGAUGAGUAGCUGGCUUCUCCCUAGAGCCAUGCCUCGGACAAGGCUCGUUUAACAACUGCUCGAGCGUCGGGCCUGACCCGCUAGCUCGGGGAGGUGGCCUCCCUUUACGUCGCUGGUUGUUACCCUGUGAAUUGGUAUUGGCCACAAACUCCAUACUGCCAUCAGCCUUACGCUUGUUACCUCCUUGGUUUGCCGGGUUAUGCUAAGGACCCUUGCCAUUGCCGUUCUUCCUUCCCUUCCCUGUCCUUUCAUCAUCUAAAGCGGGGUCCUUGGUACUAUCAGAAUCGGCGUAUUUGACGAGAGCCACCAUCAGUGUACCCAUAUCAUUGCAGUCGCGUUUGAGCCGCCCGAGUUUCAUCUUCAGGGGCAGGAAGCGACAAUUCUGCUCCAACAUUAAGACUGCAGAGCCGGCAUCCAUCUUAUCAGAUGAAUCUAUUAUCUCUUUGACCCGGCGAACCCAAUGCGUCGUAGACUCACCCUCCUGCUGUUUACAGUUAGUCAAAUCCACAAUUGACAUAGACUGCCUACAGGUAUCUUUGAAGUUUUGGAUGAACCGGGCUUUCAGCUCAGCCCAAGACCCGAUGGAAUUUGGUGGCAGCCCUUUCAACCAAGUGCGGGUAGUCCCAUCUAACAUCAUGGUGAAGUACUUGGCCAUCGCCGCUUCACUGACCUCCAACAAUUCCAUGGCCAUCUCGUAACUCUCGAUCUAGGAUCCGGGUUGUAAAUCAGCCGUGUAAUUAGGCACCUUCCUAGGCCCUUUGAAGUCCUUGGGUAGACGUUCAUUGCGGAGAGCUGGCACUAAACAAGGGACACCUCCAGUCCUCACAGGGAUACCCACGUCGACGGAAGUCGUCGGAUAAGCCGGGGGUGUCUGGUAAGCCGUCACCUGAGGCACUUGUUCCGCCUCUUGUCGUGCUCUGUCUUGGUCUGUUGCGUGAAAGGCUCCGUUAUGAGCCGGGCCAUGGCCAGGGGGCAAGUCAUGGCGUCGGACAUUACUUGAGCCGGUCGCUGAAACCAUGUGUCUGCUAUAACUCGGGCUUCGGCCUGGACGAGGGGUUGAAUGGAUCCUGUCCCGGCUGUAAGAGUAUGCCUCUUGCUGCGCCAGAGCUGUCUGAAGGAGCUCCCUGACCCGGCGGGUUUCAACCGCCGUUGGAGAAUCGCCAUCAAUUGGGAGAGCCGCCAGCCGUGCCGCCGCGGCGACCAUGUUUUCCAGCGGGUUGGCAUAAUGACCCGGUGGUAUUGGCACGUACUGAGGCGGGGCAGGGUUCACCCGGGGAGGCCCCAUCACUUGGGGUUGAAUUGGUGUCCCAGCUCUGGGUACUAUGAUCUCCGGCGGGUUACUAGACCCUGCACCUGGCGUGUUGAAGAGGUUUCGAGGAUCGUAGACCGGAGGGAGUCAAGACUGGGCCUUUUGAUGCCUCCUUCUCAUGACCUCAUUGGACGCGUUCUGAUCCAUCGUGAGCCGGAAGGACUGCGCCUGAAUCAACUGAGUCUGGGCGUCGAGAGCCGCCCUCUCCGCAGCCAUCCUGAUCCCUUCCGCCGCCACAUCCUCCUUGGCUUUCACUAGAUCUAACUUUAACUGCUCCACCUCCGCGUCAUGCUGAGCUUGAUCCGCCGGGUCAACCGUGGCGGUCAACAGGGCCGUCAUCUUGUCCGUGAGAUCCAUCAGCACCUGAGCCGGCGAGGGUACCGGAUUUCCUGACCCAGCGGCAGGGUUCUGAACAGGCUGUGCACCGUCCAUGAAGAUUCCAACCCGGCUCGGCGGCUCAAAAGGGUCCGGAAUACUGUCACCAUCGGAACAACCCCUGAGCCUGCCAUCUUGAAGUUGAUACAAUGAGUUUGACUCAUCUGUAGACGACUCGCCGUCAGAGCCGGCGGUCGUCUCAUCACCAGAUGCAGACCCUGCAGAGAGUCCUUCAUGAACACAUCCCACAAAAGCAUGCUUCAAGGCAGGUAGAGCCCGGGCGGGUCGUGCACGCUGAGCCGUCUCGAUGAGACCGGCGCAGAGAUCCGGCUCAGGGCCCGGCUCACCAAUCUUGCCAAUGAAGACAUGAAUUCCGCCGAAGGGGACCCGGUACCCAUACUCAAUUGAGCCGGCGUCGGGGCCCCAGUUUGCAUCGUCAAUGUAGAGCUUGCCGCAACGACUCUUGGUCAUCCGGCCCACAACGUAUCCCUUGAGCCCUUCGAAGCUGCCCUUCAAGAACUCAAAUCCACCGUGCGCUGGCCCCACGGUGGGCGCCAACUGUCGUGGAAUUGUCACGACAGAUGUCCUCGUGCUAGGACUUAGUCGUCGAGCCAUCGCAGCUAGGAAGCUUAAAGGGUUAAACGGGACAAGGAACACGAGGGUUAUACUGGUUCGGCCCCUUACGGUGAAGGUAAAAGCCUACGUCCAGUUGAGGUGGUAUUGAUUAGGGUUUCGAUGACCAGGGAGCUUAAUUGCUAUGCCUGGCUCUCGACGAGAUCUCACUUGUCCUUAAACCGCCGCCAGGUCGCCCCUUUAUAUAGAGAGGUUGACGCCCAGCGGCUCUCUGAGUCCCGGCCGGCUCAUAAGAGUGUCCGGCUCGGACUCUCAACUAUUCUUGCCUUACACUACAAGUUCUACCAUAAUGGCGGUUAUCACAACGGGCCUUAAGCCAUCUCCGGGUCUUAGGCCCAUCAUUGACCCACCGUCUUCAAGCUUGGUACUGGGCUUCGCGUGAUGACCAUUAUGAGUAACCCGGCCCCUCCUGCGGGUGACUCUAAGGGUUAUAUCCUCAACACAAAGGGUGUCAGAGAGAAGCAUUAGUCUAUAAUGGAUAUAGAACUGUGACGCCCGGAUAAUUAAGCUACAGUAAUUCUCUGCUAAUGGUGUCACGUCACCACGGUUACUCUUGCUAAUCUCGCGUUAGUUCGAAACCGAUUCAAAUUCAAAUUCAAAAUCAAAAUCAAAUCAAACGGUAAAAGUUUUCAAACUUUAAAACUAAAAUGUUUGGGUUGUGCCAGAUAAUGCAUAGGUGAUUAUGGUGGUGAAACCAAACUUUUAUGAAAUGCUUAACUGCACUAAAAUAAUUUAAAUAGUAGCAAACCUAAUUAUUUAAAUGCCUUUACUAAUUAAUAAAGUAUCAAACUAAAUUAUUUGGGGACUAGACUUUUUAUGACAGUGGACUAAACUAAAAUACUAAAUUAGAUGCCAAGUAUAUAUUUUACAAAAAACUAAAACAAUAGGAAACAAAGAUAAAAUAGAAUAAAAUAAAGAAAAUAAAAGAAAACAAGAAAUAAUAAUAAAAGAAAGGCCGAAACCCCCCUCUCCCUGGGCCUCUCGGCCCAACCGGCAGCCAGCCGGCCCACCCCGUUGCCCCUGGCCUAUAUGGCCUAUUUCCCCACACCCGACCGAAACCCUAACUGCUACCCCCACUCCCCUCGAUCCCCCACUCCCCUCGCUCCCCUCCCCCGUCUGGAUCGGGGCAACCGCACCCCGACCCCGUCAACGCCGAUGCCGCGCGCCACCUCGCCGGUGCCCAGGUGACCACUGCCGUCGCCGGACCUUCCGUGCCUCUCCCUUGCGGGAUCGGCCCGCUCGUCGCGCCGCCCGCGUCGCCCAUCGCCCCUGGACAACGCCGCCACCACCACGACGCCGUCGACCGCCGGAGCACCACCAGCCACAUCGCCGGAGCUGUCCCGCCGUCCUCUCCGUCGCCGGUGCCGCCUCGCCGGACCUCCCCGACUCCUCCUCGAGCCCGCUUUGCUCAACUACAGGGCUCGGUGAGCCCCGUCCUCCCCUCCUCCUCUUUCCUCGUUUGGUCACCGUGGCUAGUACCGCCGCCCACGCGCCGGCCUUGCUGGCCUCGCCUACUUUCGCCACCCACGCCGCUCGCCCGCUCUCGCCGCCCGCGUUCUGCCUCGGCUCCUCGUCGCCCGCUAGCGUCCGGUCGCGCUUGCCCCCUGCUCGCCAUACCCUUGCCCCGCGAGCGCCCGUUGACGCUGGCGCAUGCCCGUCGCUUGCCCCACCUUCCCCUGCACGCGCCCGCCUCGCCGCAUAGCCGCGCCGCGGCCUAGCCGAGUGCCAGCGCCCCGCGCAUGACCGCGCCCCUGCUCCCCUUGUCCCGCUCCGCCGCGGGCUCCCGCUGCCGCACGCCGCCCGGUUAGCGCUACUGUGCCGCUCCCCACGCCAGGCCCGCGCCUUCCCUGGCCGACGCCGUGGCCAUCGGCCUCCCCCUGCUCCGGCGCCGCGCCGGAUUUGCCCGCCCCUGGGCGUUAGCCCAUUCGGGCUGGCGCCCAUCGCCUGCACGCCCGAUCCGCUAGGCCUAUGGGCCUUUGACAUGUGGGGCCCAUGCCCAGAACGUUUUAAAAAAAUGAAUGAAAAAUAAUAAUAAAUAAAUAAAAUAUCAAUCAAUUAAUUAAUUAAUUAACUUAAUUAAUUCUGUUUAAAUUAACUAAUUAAGAUUAAUUAACCUAAUAACUAGUUAACCUAAUUAACUACUGUUAAUUAGCUAAGCAGUCCCUAACAGGUGGGACCCACCUGUCAGGUUGACCAGGUCAACGGUCAACGUUGACUGCUGACGUCAUGCUGACAUCAUGCUGACGUCAUAAUUAUCUUUUUCUAAUUAAAUUAAUUGUGUUAAUUCUAGAAAAGGAUAAAAUCCUUUUUAAAUUAAUAUAAAAUGAACCGUAGCUCGGAUGGAAAAACUUUGUACAUGAAAGUUGCUCAGAACGACGAGCCGAAUCCGGAUACGCAGCCCGUUUGUCUGCCACACAUCCCUAGCAUAGCAAACACGCAACUUUCCCCCUCCAGUUCACCUGUCCGAAAACGCGAAACACCGGGGAUACUUUCCCGGAUGUUUCCCCCCUUCGCCGGUAUCGCCUCCUACCGCGUUAGGGCACGCCUAGCACUGUUUGUUGUCUUGUCAUGCAUCUGUUUGCAUUGUAUUCAUUGUUUCUUCCCCCCUUCUCUCUCCGUUAUACUACGAGACUGACGCCGCUGCUGGUGCCCCAAUCGACUACGUUGUUGACGACCCCUACUUGCCAGAGCAACCAGGCAAGCCCCCCCCCUUGAUCACCAGAUAUCGCCUAUUCCUUCUCUCUACUGCUUGCAUUAGAGUAGUGUAGCAUGUUACUGCUUUCGGUUAAUCCUAUUCUGUUGCAUAGCUUGUCAUUGUUGCUACAAUUGUCGAUACCUUUACCUGCUAUCCUAAUGCUUAGUAUAGGAUGCUACUGUUCCAUCAGUGGCCCUACACUCUUGUCCGUCUACCAUGCUAUACUACUGGGCCGUGAUCACUUGGGGAGGUGAUCACGGGCAUAUACUAUAUACUUUAUACUGUUACAUUACUUAUGAUACUGUUCGGAGAUGGGGGCUGAAGGGGCAGGUGGCUCCAUCCCGGUAGAGGUGGGCCUGGGUUCCCGACGGCCCUCGGCUGAUACUUUGUGUCGGAGCGACUGGGCGGGUUGAGAGCACCUAGGAGAGAGGUGGGCCUGGCCCUGGUCGGCGUCCGCGGUUACUUCAAAAUAACACGCUUAACGAGUUCUUGGUAUUUGAUCUGAGUCUGGCCAUUUGGUCUAUACGCACUAACCAACUACGCGGGAACAGUUAUGGGCACUCGGCGUCGUGGUAUCAGCCGAAGCCUUUGUGACGUCAGCGACUGAGCGGCGCGCGCCGGAUUGGACUGGAACGCCUGCUAGGCUAGGUCUGCUUCCGGCCGCAUUUGCAACGUGCAGGUGUGCAAUGGGCGAUGGGCCCAGACUCCUGCGCCAUAGGAUUUAGACCGGCGUGCUGACCUCUCUGUUGUGCCUAGGUGGGACUGCGACGUGUUGAUCUUCCGCGGCCGGGCAUGACCCAGAAAAGUGUGUCCGGCCAAAUGGGAUCGAGCGUGUUGGGUUAUGUGGUGCACCCCUGCAGGGAAGUUUAUCUAUUCGAAUAGCCGUAAUCUUCGGUAACAGGACGACUUGGAGUUGUACCUUGACCUUAUGACAACUAGAACCGGAUACUUAAUAAAACACACCCUUCCAAGUGCCAGAUACAACCCGGUGAUCGCUCUCUAAUGGGCCGACGAGGAGGGGAUCCCUGGGUAGGAUUAUGCUAUGCGAUGCUACUUGGUGAACUUACCAUCUACUGUCUCCUACAUGCUGCAAGAUGGUGGUGGCCAGAAGCGUAGUCUUCGACAGGAUUAGCUAUCCCCCUUUUAUUCUGGCAUUCUACAGUUCAGUCCACCGAUAUGGCCCUUUACACAUAUACUCAUGCAUACGUAGUGUAGAUCCUUGCUUGCGAGUACUUUGGAUGAGUACUCACGGUUGCUUUUCUCCCUCUUUUCCCCCUUUCCAUUCUACCUGGUUGUCGCAACCAGAUGCUGGAGCCCAGGAGCCAGACGCCACCGUCGACGACGACUCUUACUACACCGGAGGUGCCUACUACUACGUGCAGGCCGGUGACGACGACCAGGAGUAGUUUAGGAGGAUCCCAGGCAGGAGGCCUGCGCCUCUUUCGAUCUGUAUCCCAGUUUGUGCUAGCCUUCUUAAGGCAAACUUGUUUAACUUAUGUCUGUACUCAGAUAUUGUUGCUUUCGCUGACUUGUCUAUGAUUGAGCAAUUGUAUUCGAGCCCUCGAGGCCCCUGGCUUGUAUUAUUAUGCUUGUAUGACUUAUUUUAUUUUUAGAGUUGUGUUGUGAUAUCUUCCCGUGAGUCCCUGAUCUUGAUCGUACAAGUUUGCGUGUAUGAUUAGUGUACGAUUGAAUCGGGGGCGUCACAAGUUGGUAUCAGAGCCGACUGCCUGUAGGAAUCCCCCUUUCCAACUCCUUGGCCGAAGUCGAGUCUAGUCAUUGAAAAAGUUUUUACUAACUUGGUUGUGCGGCUUACGGGCCCACGUCGCCAUUGGGUGGUAUUAGGAUCUUUUAUUCCUCGAUCUAUACUCUGGGACUCUGAUCUCUCUUAUAUUCGGGUUAAAUGACUUUACUAACACUGACUCUAGGUUCUCGUAACUACUUCCACCCGGAGAGCCCCUUACUCCAGAUGAUUACUUGGUCCACCGAAGGAUUUCGAAGAUACUCUCUGAUGUUCUCUCGAGACUUUGAGCCUGUUGCUUUUGCAAUUCCCUACCACCGAAACAUCCCUAUGGAUAAAUACUUACACCUAUCGUUUUUACUUUUAUUCCCAGUUGAUCUUGUUAUUCCAAGAUACCCCGAAAUUCUCUCUAAUGUUCCGAGAAUACUUUGUGCCUACUGCCUUGCAGUUCUUGCCACAUGAAUAUCCCUACGGAUAAUUUCUCACACUCACCGACUAUCCACUCAUCCCAAGUUGAUUCAUGUAUGUCACCAAUCUUCGAAAUACCAUUCAAUCUUCCGAAAAUCCUCAGGAGCCUAUUGCUCUUGAAAUUCUUACUUGCUUGCAUUAUGGUUAACCCCAUAAGUCUAGUAAUCUUAUUGGCGUCCUUUGUCAUUAUCAUUUUGAGUCCGUUGAUUCAAUAACUUGCGAAUGUUCACCAUCAUCAGUUGAAUCCUAGGAUUAUCCUUCCGGCUCAGACGUCAUUUGGAUAUGAGCUGGUUCUUGACCAAUCAAUGCCUUGAUCGGUUGUGCUUCUAAGUCUAUUGAACUUAUUCAUUUUCGAUCAGAACGAUUGCUUCUGAUCCCUUGAUCUGGAAAUCUUAAUUCCUUUGCCUUUGAGCUUUGAUGUAGUUAGUUGUUUCUAUAAUUAAAUACCUUUGCAUUGUUUCUUCCAUUGGUGGUGUGCAAAUGCUCACAUCAACUCCGUUCUGGACCGUCAGAUCCUUUGUUGAAUUUUCAUCCGACAGUGUCCUUUGUACACAAAAACCUCGAGAAGUUCUUUCCCUGAUACAUAAUGUCAUUGCUAAAUCCUAUUCUUUGAUAUGGCCAACGAUGCUCUGCUUUUGAGCUUGAGUUAUUUACUUCUGAACUUUGUAGUAUAUGUUUCUAAGAUGCCCUGAUGGGUUGAGCCUAUACCUUCCCUAAAACCGUAUGCACCCGAAAGUUUACACAAGUCAUACCAUUCUGGUGUUUUACCAGAUAAUUUUCUGCUCUACAACUUCUUCGAAGACGAGAAGUAAAUGAUAGGUUAGGCAUUGAAGAAGUGGGAGUCGACCUUGAACUUUGUGUUCAUGCCCAUGGACCCGAUGUGGAACUUAUCAUGAAAGCUUCUUGUAAUAAUAAUUUUCCCUUGUUUUAAAAUCAUCUUGUAUUUUGUUUUGGUCCUUUGCAAUCGUGGUUUUGACCAUGAUUGUUCUUCUUUGAUCCCAUUUCGCGGACAAGUUUAAGCACUUGUCUUCUACGGAGCAAUACCCCAGUCCAACCUCUACUUUGAUCUGUCGUCGAGUAUUACCCCCUGGUAUCUCGAGAUUAUCAGGAGCAACAUAACUUCUUAUGAGUUCUUCAUCAACUAAUAUUCUUGCCAAUUCCAUUUUUCCAACGGGUUCCGAGUUGUUAGAACCCCUGAAGGACACCGACAACUGAAUUGAGUCCGCACUACGAUUCAACAACUCUUGGUAACCUUCAUUACUUACGAGUUUGAACUUGAUCAUGUCAUUCCUAGCCUACUCGGCUACAUCAUUAUCGUGCUGAUUUUAACUAUGCUACCUGGUCCUUAAUCACGGAGCACAACCUUCGACGGUGAGCUAAUCUUACGUCGAUCUUCCUCGUCAUAUCAUUCCUCCUUGAACAGCAAACUUGAUUUCGAGUUUGUGUCGUACCCAGGGUUCCAAUAACCUUUCGCUUCAUCAUUCCUUUGACUUGAUGUCAUCGCCGAUCGAUUACAUCUUCAUGGAAUCUCUCGACAAAUGUGUCGUGAUCAUCAUGAGCAUUCUGAGUCCUUCCAGAAUAUCAAUUGAAUUCAUGAUGAGAAAGACCAUCCUUUCCCUCGAUGAUUUGUGUUAUCAUCGGCCACUUUACUGCCUUCCCUCCAACACAAACUUGUUCGUGUUUCGUGUUAUACCUUAGGAUCCUUGCUAUCCAGCAUUUGUUCUUUACCUUGGAGUAUUACCAUCUUUUAUGUCAACAAUGUCGUGAGAAUUUCACCACCUCUUAAGAAUUCUUGAUAUAGUAAUACUUCUCGCCAUCUCCAUUCAUAUUUUGGUCCCCGUGUUGUUUCUAACCGGGAUACCAGCCAUUUAACUAUGAUGUGUGAAGUCAAAACUUCUAGCAACCCUAUUGCUUGUAAGUUAAUGAACGUUAGUUACAUUCUUUGUGUAUUGGAUAUCGUAUCACCCUUCUAACAUUGAUCUUGCUACCAAAGCCCAUAUUUCGGGUGCACCUUUCAAUCAAUGUUUGAUUGUGUAUGUUUUCCUCGAGCAUACAUCAUUAUAUCAUUUGAUAUGACGAAUGUUAUCUCCUUGUUCACAUAAUUGUGGAAAUCAAUCUUUUGGAAAUCUCGAUGAAUUGUCCUUAGCCCAUGAGCCACCUCCUUGUCCUCUCCUUGGGUUAAUGAUGAACUCUUGUUAACGGAAAUCACUUCAUAGUUCAUUUCCUGAGAAUCUUACAGUGUCAUCCCGUCAAUUUGUCGGGCACCUUUUCUUCUCAGGCAUCCUGAGUCUGAGGUUUCCUAACACCGAUCAGAUCUGAAUCUCGGUCAGCUAUGAUGGUUGGAGCAUAUUUUCAAGAGUUAUAACAUUGGUCUUUAUAUGACCCGGUAAGGUGAUGUCAUGCCUAGCACACUUGACCGGAGGACCUAUUGUUAUAGUUCUUCCUUUCAGCAAGGUUAUCCAUUCUUCCAUGAGGAAAUUGUAAAACUUAUUCUACAAGUUGUUCCUGAUGGAUCCUUUGUAUCCAAAGUCCGACCUUUGCUUGAAGACCAUGCCAAUGCUAUCUCGAAACAUGUCUGUGGUACUCCGAUUUUUUUUACAAGAACAUUUGAAGCCCAAUGCUAAAUGAUUCUUGCUCAAUUAUCCAAACACCGUUGUAUGGGUAGUGUCAUGAAAUUUCUCUCCCCUACCUAAAGAGUUUUCUACAUUAUAUCCUGUCAUGGAUAUCAUGCUCAUCUUGUCCUUGGGAAGGAUAUACCCUUGAAAUAUGUGUUUAAACACAUUUUCCUUUCCAUUGUUUUAUUUAAUCUGAUGAUCACCCUUUUCCUUUCUGUUGAGGAUAUAACCAUUAGAGUCACCCGCCCAGGAGGGGCCGGGUUACGUCAUAAUGAUCAUCACGUGAAGCCCAGUACCAAGCUUGAGGAUGGCGGAUCAAUAAUGGGCUUAAGACCCGGAGGCGGCUUAAGGCCCGUAGUGAUAACCCGCCGCUAUGGCAAGACUUGUGAUGUAAGGCAAGAGUAGUUAAGAGUCCGAGCCGGAUACUAUUAUGAGCCGGCCGGGACUCUGAGAGCCGCGGGGCGUCAACCUCUCUAUAUAAAGGGAUGACCUGGCGGCAGUUCAGGACGAGAGAUAACAGAUCGAGAGCCAGGCAUAGCAAUUAGCUCCCUGGUCAUCGAAACCCUAAGUAAUACCACCUCAACUGGACGUAGGCUUUUACCUUCACCGUAAGGGGCCGAACCAGUAUAAUCCUCAUGUUCCUUGUCCCGCUUAACCCCUUUAAGCUUCCUAGCUGUGAUGGCUCCACGACUAAGUCCUUGCACGAGGACAUCUGCCGUGACAAUUCCACAACAGUUGGCGCCCACCGUGGGGCCAGCGCACGGUGGAUUUGAGUUCUUGAAGGGCAGCUUCCAAGGGCUCAAGGGAUACACUGUGGGCCAGAUGACCAAGAGUCAUCGCGGCAAGCUCUACAUCGACGAUGCAAACUGGGGCCCCGAUGCCGGCUCAAUCGAGUACGGGUACCGGGUCCCCUUCGGCGGAAUCCAUGUCUUUAUUGGCAAGAUUGGUGAGCCGGGCCUUGAGCCGGACCUCUGCACCGAUCUCAUCAAGACGGCUCAGCGUGCACGGCCCGCCCGGACUCUGCCUGCCUUGAAGCAUGCUUUCGUAGGAUGCGUCCAUGGAGAACUCUCUGAAAGAUCUGGAUCUGGCGAGGAGACGGCCGCUCGCUCUGAUGGCGAGUCAUCCACAGAGGAGACCGACUCGUUAUACCAACUUCAAGAUGACAGGCUCAGGGGUUGUUCCGAUGGCGACAGUAUUCCGGACCCCUUUGAGCCGCCGAGCCGGGUUGGAAUCUUUAUGGCUGGCGCAUAACCUGUUCAAAACCCCGCCGCUGGGGCAGGAAGCCCUGCGCCCUCGCCGGCUCAGGUGCUGAUGGAUCUCAUGGACAAGAUGACGGCCCUGUUAACCGCUACGGUCGCCCCAGCGGAUCAAGCUCGGCAUGACGCGGAGAUGGCACAGUUGAAGUUGGAUCUAGCAAAGGCCAAGGAGGAUCUGGCGGCGGAAGAGAUCAGGAUGGCUGCAGAGAGGGCGGCUCUCGACGCCCAGACUCAGCUGAUUCAGGCGCAGUCUUUCUGGCUCACGAUGGAUCAGAACGCGUCCAAUGAGGUCAUCCGAAGGAGGCAUCAAAAGGCCCAAUCUCGACUCCCUCCGGUUUACGAUCCUGAAAACCUCUUCAACACGCCUGGUGCAGGGCCUAGUAACCCGCCAGAGAUCACGGCGCCCCAGGCUGGAACGCCAGUUCAGCCCCAAGUGAUGGGGCCUCCCCGGGUGAACGCCGCCCCGCCUCAGUACGUGCCAAUACCACCGGGUCAUUAUGCCAACCCGUUGGAAAACAUGGUCGCCGCGGCGGCGCGACUGGCGGCUCUCCCAAUCGAGGGCGACUCUCCGACGGCGGUUGAAACCCGCCGGGUCAGAGAACUUCUUCAGAUGGCUCUGGCGCAACAGGAGGCAUAUUCAUAUAGCCGGGACAGGAUUCAUUCAACCCCUCGUCCAGGCCGGAGCCCGAGUUAUAGCAGACACAUGGUCGCAGCAACCGGCUCUAGCAAUGUCCGACGCCGUGACUUGCCUCCAGGCCACGGCCCGGUUCAUAAUGGAGCUUUUAACGCGGUAGACCAAGACAGAGCACGACAAGAGGCGGAGCAGGCGGCUCAGUUGACGGCUUACCAACCACUCCCGGCUUAUCGGUCGGCUUCCAUCGACGCGGGUAUACCUACGAGGACUGGAGGUUCCUUGUGUGGUGCCGGCUCUCCGUAAUGGACGUCUGCCCAAGGAUUUCAAAGGGCCGAGGAAGGUACCUAAUUACACGGCUGAUUUGCAACCCGGAGCAUGGAUCGAGAGUUACGAGAUGGCUAUGGAGUUGCUGGAGGUCAGUGAAGCGGCAAUGGCCAAGUACUUCACCAUGAUGUUAGAUGGGACUGCCCGCACUUGGUUGAAAGGGCUGCCACCGAACUCUAUCGGGUCUUGGGCUGAGCUAAAAGCCCGGUUCAUCCAAAACUUCAAAGAUACAUUUAGGCAAUCUAUGUCAAUUGUGGAUUUGACUAACUGCAAGCAGCGGGAGGGUGAGUCUACAACCCAUUGGGUUCGCCAGGUCAAAGAGAUAAUACAUUCAUCUGAUAAGAUGGAUGCCGGCUCUGCAGUCUUAAUGUUAGAGCGGAAUUGUCGCUUUGCGCCCCUGAAGAUGAAGCUCGGGCGGCUCAAGCGUGAUUGCAAUGAUAUGGGUACGCUGAUGGCGGCUCUGGUCAAGUACGCCGACUCUGAUAGUACCAAGGAUCCCGCGUCGGACGAUGAAAGGACAGGGAAGGGAAAACGGAACAGCAAUGGCAAGGGCGCCCAGCAUAACCCGGCAAACCAAGGAGGCAACAAGCGGAAGGCUGAUGGCAGUAUGGAGUUUGUGGCCAACGCCAGUUCACAGGGUAACAACCACCGGCGCAAGGGGAGACCAUCUCCCCGAGCCGGCGGGUCAGGCCCGACGCUUGAACAGUUGUUGAAUGAGCCUUGCCCAAGGCAUGGCUCUAGGGAAAAGCCGGCCACUCAUCUAUGGAAGGACUGCGCAAUCAUGAAGGCCUUUAAAAAUUCCAAUGCUUUCAAUGGCAACAGUGGCCCGGGCGGCGGCUCAGGCGCUGGCGGUUUUCAUGGCCCGGGCGGCGGUUCAAAUUCCAAUUCUCAGAAUGUUCAAGGGGGCUUUAAUCAGCAGUCCGGCCAGGGUCAUCAGCAGCAGCAGGGGGGAUACCAGACCAAUCCAAAGCAGCUCAAUGGUGGACAGUAUCAUGUGUUUACCACCAGUCUGUGCAAGCGAGUUCAGAAGCUUCAUAAAAGGGCUGUAAAUGCUGUUGAGCCGGCGGUUCCACGCUAUUUAAGAUGGCCUGAGCAGCCCAUUGUGUGGAGUAGGGAAGAUCACCCUCCCUGGGUUGAUAAUCCGGGUCACCUGGCCCUGGUGGUGGCUCCUCAGGUGGGGGGAUAUAAAUUCACUAAAGUGCUCAUGGACGGAGGCAGCAGCAUCAACAUCCUCUAUUAUGAGACCUUCCGUCGUAUGGGAUUGAUUGAUAAGAACCUCAGCCAGUCCAAUACUAUUUUCCAUGGGGUGGUGCCUGGUAAGUCGGCAUAUCCAGUUGGUAAGAUCAAGCUGGAAGUGGCCUUUGGAGAUGAGUACAACUACAGGGCAGAAAAAAUAACCUUUGAGGUGGUUAAGAUAAGAAGUCUGUAUCAUGCUUUAUUUGGGCGGCCGGCUUACGCCAAGUUCAUGGCACGGCCGUGUUACGUGUACUUGCAGCUCAAGAUGCUGGGUCACAAUGGGACCAUUACGGUUCAUGGCAGCCGAAAGAUAGCCUUGGAAUGUGAGGAAGGUGACACGGCUUACGCGGAAUCUGUUUGUGCCACAGAGGAGUUGAAGUUUUACAAGGACAAUGUUGACCCGGCAGACAUGACGUCUUUGAAAAAGCCAACCACAGAGCAUGAGCCGGUAAUGAAAUUUAAAUCAGCUGAUGAGACUAAACUUGUUGACUUUGUUCCAGGUGACUCAUCUCGGCAGUUCAGCAUCAGUGCCAAUCUGGAUCCGAAAUAGGAAGGCGCGCUCAUCGAGUUCAUCCAUGAGAACAGGGACAUAUUUGCAUGGAAACCUUCUGACAUGCCGGGUGUACCUAGAGAACUCGCUGAGCACACUCUCAAUAUUGAUCCGAAAUUUAAGCCGGUUAGGCAAUUCCUCCGACGGUUUAAUGAGGAGAGGCGGAAAGCCAUUGGUGAGGAGGUGGCCCGGCUCUUGGCGGCCGGGUUUAUUGUUGAAGUUUUUCAUCCAGAAUGGUUAGCUAACCCGGUGCUCGUGCUCAAGAAGAACGGCACCUGGCGGAUGUGUGUGGACUACACGGAUUUAAACAAGGCUUGUCCGGCUGAUCCUUUUGCUCUCCCCCAUAUUGAUCAAAUUAUUGAUGCUACGGCGGGUUGUGAGCUCUUCAGUUUUUUGGAUGCUUAUUCUGGAUACCAUCAGAUUAAAAUGGCAGUUAAGGACCAGGAGAAGACGGCGUUCACCACUCCCUUUGGAACCUUCUGUUAUCUGUCUAUGCCUUUUGGACUCAAGAGUGCACAGGCAACUUACCAGCAUUGUGUGCAGAAUUGUCUUCAUAACCAGAUUGGGCGCAACGUUCAUGCCUAUGUGGAUGAUAUCGUAGUUAAAUCCAGGGAGAAGGAGACCUUGGUAGAUGAUCUUAGAGAAACCUUUGAUAAUCUCUGGGUUUACAAGAUGAUGCUUAACCCGGCCAAGUGUGUUUUUGGUGUUCUUGGAGGCAAGCUCUUGGGUUUUCUGGUUUCUCACAGAGGCAUUGAAGCUAACCCGGAAAAGAUCAAAGCAAUCACCUCUCUGGCUAAGCCGGCGUGCAUAAACGACGUCCAGCGUCUGGCGGGUCGCAUCGCCGCUUUGAGUCGGUUUAUAAGCCGUUUGGGUGAAAAGGCCAUGCCACUAUACCAGAUGAUGAAGAAAACAGAUGACUUUAUCUGGAAUGAUGCUGCUAAUGCUGCUUUUGAGGAUUUGAAGAGACAGCUGGCUGAACCCCUAGUCCUUGCUGCUCCCGUUGACAAGGAGCCCUUAUUGCUAUAUGUGGCCGCUAACACACGAGCCGUCAGUGUGGCUGUGGUGGUGGAGCGUAAGGAAGCGGGUAAGGAGUAUCCGGUUCAGCGGCCGGUUUACUACGUCAGCGAAGUACUCAUUGAGUCCAAACAGCGGUAUCCACACUGGCAGAAACUUGUUUAUGGUGUGUUCAUGGCAAGCCGGAAGCUUAAGCAUUAUUUCCAGGGUCACCCUAUCACUGUGGUUAGUUCUGCUCCCCUAGGAGAUAUCAUUCAAAACAGAGAAGCCACAGGAAGAGUUGCUAAGUGGGCUAUAGAACUUGGGCCUCAUGGUCUAAAAUACAUGCCGCGCACUGCUAUCAAAUCUCAAGCAUUGGUGGAUUUCAUCAACGAUUGGACAGAGCUGCAGGUGCCUGAAGAGAAACCGGACAAUACAUACUGGACUAAUCACUUCGACGGGUCUAGACAAUUAGAGGGCUCGGGGGCUGGAGUUGUAUUAACUUCCCCUCGAGGUGACAAGUUUUGCUAUGUGCUACGGUUGAUGUUUCCCUGUACUAACAACGCGGCUGAGUACGAGGCCUUGCUCCAUGGUCUUCGGAUGGCUAAGGAGAUGAGCUUGAGCCGGGUAAGGUGCUUUGGCGACUCAUAUUUAGUGGCCCAACAAGUGUCAGGCAAGUGGGAUUCCAAGGACCCUCUCAUGGCGGCUUAUCGCCGCGAAGUUGAUGCCAUUGCUGGACAUUUUCAGGGUUACCAAGUAGAGCACAUCGAUCGCAGGAAGAACAAGGCGGCUGAUGCAUUAAGCUGGCUGGGCUCUCAGCGAAAGCCGGUGCCGCCUAAUACUUUCUUGGACAUUUUGCAUAACCCUUCUAUUAAGUUGCCUACAGAGGGAGACUUGGUUGUUCCUGACCCGGAGGCACAGUUGGUGGCGGCUCUCCACAUUACCCCAGACUGGACAGUACCAUACUUGGCUUACAUGACCCGGGGAGAAUUGCCUGAGGAUGAAACUUUGGCCAGACAAAUAACCCGGCGGUCUAAGUCAAUGAUAAUUACCAAUGGCGAGCUGCAUCAUCGCAGUGUCACUGGAACUUUCCAGCGUUGUGUUUCCCCUGAGGAAGGUCAAGAAAUUUUACGUGAGAUUCACGAGGGGGAUUGUGGCCAUCAUGCCGGCUCAAAAUCCCUUGUGGCCAAGGCUUUUCGUCAUGGUUUUUAUUGGCUGACGGCUCAUGCUGAUGCAGAGGACUUCGUCAGUAAAUGUGACGGUUGUCAGAGGUUCUCGCGACGGGCUCAUGUGCCGGCUCAAGAGUUGAGGAGGAUUCCAAUUACUUGGCCAUUUGCAGUCUGGGGGCUUGAUAUGGUUGGGCCUUUUAAAAGAUGCAAGGAUAAGAAGACCCACCUCUUGGUGGCGGUUGACAAGUUCACAAAGUGGGUUGAAGCAGAGCCAGUUAGUAAGUGUGACGCAGCCACAGCGGUUCAGUUCAUGAAGAGGGUGAUAUUUCGCUUUGGUUUUCCACACAGCAUUAUAACUGACAAUGGUACCAAUCUGUCUAAAGGCGCUAUGGAGGAGUUUUGUCAACGAGAGCAUAUUCGGCUUGAUGUUUCAUCAGUGGCUCACCCUCAAUCCAAUGGUCAAGCUGAGAGAGCCAAUCAGGAAAUCUUGAAGGGCAUCAAGCCCCGGCUUUUGGUACCUUUGCAACGGACGCCGGGUUGUUGGGUGGAGGAGUUACCCUCCGUGUUAUGGAGCAUCAAUACUACUCCUAACAGGUCUACGGGUUACACGCCUUUCUUCAUGGUUUAUGGAGCGGAGGCGGUCCUCCCUAGCGACAUCCGUCAUGACUCGCCUCGAGUGGCGGCUUGUGUUGAGGCGGAUAAUGAGCGGGCGCGUCAAGAUGCUCUUGACUUGUUGGACGAACAGUGUGAUGUGGCAGCAGCUCGCUCGGCGAUUUACCAACAAGACCUGCGCCGCUAUCACAGCCGCCGGGUUAAGUCCAGGGUCUUCCAGGAAGGUGAUCUGGUGCUCUGGCUCAUCCAAGAUCAAACAGAUGCACACAAGUUAUCCCCGCCUUGGGAAGGGCCCUUUGUGGUUAGCAAGAACUUGUACAACGGGUCAUACUACCUUAUCGAUGUUCGGGAGCACAAAGAUUCACAUAAGUCGGAGGAAGAGACCUGUCGGCCGUGGAACAUAGCUCAGCUUCGGCCUUACUACACUUGAGGCACCGGCUCUCAUAAUGUACAUAUUUCUAUAGUCAUGUAUAUAUUAUGAUAAGUAAUAAAGCAGGACCUCUGUCGUUUUCUCCUCCAAAGGUAAAUGUGUUAUUUCCAUUACAACAUUACAUGGUCACUUGGAGGUGGAUCCAGCUUACGAUCGUAUUCGAAUUUAGCCGUUAACAAUAUGAUCACUUGGGGGCUUCCUGUUCAAACAUAGGUCGUAUUCGAACCAAAGAGAACAUAGCUGUCGAUACCCACUUGAUUGGCAAAUUGCCGAGCUCAUUGGGGAGUUUUUCUUGAUCAUAUUUGAAUCAUAGCUCAACCCCCUUUGGGAACCGACGUGGAUCAUAUUCGAAUCAACGUCGUUAAACAACUCUUAAGGUCAUUUGGGGGCUUCCUGUUCAAACAUGGGUCGUAUCCGAACCUAAGAGAACAUAGCUGUCGGUACCCUCUUGAUAGGCAACGCCAAAGCCACUGGGGGCUUUAUGAUCGCAUUCGAAUCUUAGCUUAACCCCUUUGGGACGGUUCUCUGGUCGUAUUCGAACCAGAAGCCCCUAAGUUUUUUGGUUUGCAACAAGUUCUUUUGAUCAUAUCAAUGGUGUGCAAGGGCGGUUCUUACUCCGCCGGCUUUACUUUGAUUAACAAUGUUGAUAGCACACAAUAAGCAUUAUCGAUGCUGGUGAACCGGAGUUGAGUUCUCAACCUCAUUAUUUGGGUUACAUAAACCGGAAGUGUACUUGAAGGCUUGCAGGUAUGCUAUUAUGGUUACCUCGAAGAUAUAAUUGAGAGCCGAUCUUUUAUGACUUUGGUUAAUAUUCCGGGCUCUAUGUAAAAUAUAUGACUCUCAGUGCGGAAAGCCGCCUAGAGACUUGUGAUUUGUUUUCUAUGCAGGACAAUGAAAGACAGUUCUUUAAACUUAAGGAAAGUAAAUGAUCAAACAUAACCCGGAGGAAUAUAAAAGAGCAGCUUCAACGGAGUUAAGCACUCCACACGUGCACGAUGGCACGACAAAAUUAAGUGUUUGUCCUACUCUAUUACAGGACUCCCCGAGUCCAAAAGGUGAGGCAUUGUUUUUAAGGCGUAACCACGAGCCGCCUAGGAAAUCAAGGUGCUUGUUGGGUUGAAGCCCCCGGCUCAUCCCUCUCCGCUCCUCCGGCUGUUUCCAUGACCUGGAAGGUUGAUGAUUUCCAGUCAAUGCCGCUCAAAGCUUCAAAUUGAGCCUCAUCAUCAAUUAACCCGGCCGGGUCAACUUCUGGGGCGAAGGUAUGCUUACGAAUCGGAGGGAUCAGGCUGACUACUUCAUAGCGUGGAGUUGGGAUCCUCUGAUUCUCCACAUCAUAGCCCGGCUGAUACUUGGUAAGGUCUGUGUCAUUUCCAAUCAAGGUGGCCACCGGGCGCACGCUCUUCACACAGGCGGCGAAGUCUUUCUGGUCAAAGGGGGUGCCGUCUUCCUUCAGGCUGGGGUAUCCAAGAGCGAUGUCGGCCGGGUCUAGCUCCGAUAGAAAUGCCUUGGCCCGGCUCAGAGCAGCUAUGGCUCCGGCUCUUGCAGAAGCCCGUCUCAGCUCUUGGAAUCGCUGAGGAAGUACGGCAAGCCGCCUGAGUACAUCUGCCAGGUGAGUGGGAACAUCAUUGGAUAGAGCCACAACGGCUAAAGCACGUUGUGACCCGGUGUAAAGUUGCUCCACCAAAGUGUAAACCGCCUUCAGCUUGGUCAGCACGUUCUGGUUGAGGUUGGAACUCCUGGGACCUGUAUUACAAAGUCAGGUGAGCUGAUGGCAAUGGUGGGACUUAUCAGACGUAAAUGAUGUAAACUUGUUAGAAGCUUACAGAGUAACUUACCGAAGAUUGCGGCGACCAUCUGCGAUACAUGGCGUUUUAAGCCGGAGAGUUCGGCGGUUCUUUCAAUAAGAGCAGCCUCCGCUUGUUCAGCCCGGCUGAGCAAGGCAGUCUUCUCAUCGGCCCAGGCUUUUCUCUCUGUUUCAAAUUUUUUCUUCAGUUUUUCUUGUGCAGAGACGCUGAACUCAAAUUUGGCAUUGGCCUUCUGGGUCUCAUUUUCCUGAGUUUUCAGGCGGGUCUUCAGAUCAGAGAUUUCCAACUCAAGUUUCUUGCAGGCAGCCUGUACAAGUUCCGGGUUACAGGUUGAGUGAUUAUCAUGCAAUAUUAAAGUCCCAAGCACUUUGCAAGCAAAGACACUUGGCACUUGGGGGCUAAUGUAGGCUGAGAAGCUUUAUUUACAGUGCCGGUUCAUGAAAAUAAGUCCCAAGCACUCUGCAGGCAAAGGUGCUUGGCACUUGGGGGCUAAUGGGCAAAGUUGCUCAAUUACUUGAUUAAAACAUAAGGUAAAAGACCGGUUCACCUAGGCUGUUUAACCCGGCCCUUGAGUGUUACCAGGUAAGCCGGUAUUAAGUCUACAACAUAUUCUGUCAUAAGUAAUAGACUUGGGGGCUAGUAUGGUAAGGAUGACUAUGGAGUAAACAAGGGAAUUAUACCUCAGAUUUUUGCUGUAUCUGCUUCACCAUGUCAAUUUCCAGGUCCCGGCUGUUGUGCACUUGACCAAUAUAACCAGCAACAAUAUCUCCAAUGCUCAAGUUAGCAUAGUCAGUGAUAUCCAGAUUGGCCCUGCGGCGCUCCAGCAGUUCUUCUUUAGCAGAGCAUCUAGCCAGCACAGUAGGUCUUCCCGGCUCAACAUAUUCGGUCCGGGUAAUCACCACAUCCGGGUCGUCGGCCGGUUGAGCUGGGCUGGGAAUCUCCGGGUUGUCAGAAACCCCCAUGGUUUGUUCUUCAGUUGGAGCGGUGGUUUCUGGAGCUGGUGCAGACGGCGGCUCAGAGGCAGAGGCGUUGGGUUCAGUCAAGACCGGCUCUUCGACCGGGUUACUUUUCUUUGCCCUCUUGCUGAGCUUUGCUUGUGCACUGCAAGUCAAAAGGUUAGUGCAAAAACAUGAGUAGGAUAAGCACAAAAUAAGCUGAUCAUCAUUACCCGGGUGCGGUCUUGAAAGCCAACAAGUUAGAUUGUAUGGAGUCACCAGAAGAAGGUGAAGUUUCCUGAUAGUUUGAAUCAGACGAAUUAAGUGGUUGACGAGUGACGCCCGCUAAAGGAUGAAAAGGAUAUAAGUUGGAGAUAACCUCGGUCCGGCUCUUCCUUGAUGCUUCAGGUAAGCCGGAGGAGAGGUCUGCAUCCUUGUUGGUCCGGGUGUGUCUCCGACUCUCAUGAAUCUGUCGCUUCAAAAGAAAUUGAGAAUCUUGAUAAGCUAAAGGAUGUGAAAAUCUUACUUUCCGGGUUACUCUUAGGACUUUCAGCCUUGGCAAGGGCUCCGAGUCGGAGGAAAGUAUAGUUACGUCUUCAGUCACCGGGUUACUGGCUCUGGUGUCCUCCUGCUGAUAAUCAGUGUCAAUAAGGUGGUUAAGAACAAACAAAAACAAAGAAGAGCAUAAGAAUCAAGGGCUACCUCUGACUCGGAGGUGUCAUCCAGCUGAAGCAGCUCUGAGGCGCUAGGCUUACUCCCCUUCUUGCGGGGAGCGGCUCUCCUGGCGGCUUUUUUAGCCUUCCUGGCUUUUUUAGCAGCCUCAUGGUCAUACCUGACCUUCCAGAACUUAUCAUUAGCCUAAAAAAUACAACAAAGGUUUCUUGAAGUUAAGACGAAAAUUGUUAAAAUGGAAAGUAAAGUGCUCAGAUCAGUAGCUUACCGCCGGAGCCGGGUUAGCUUUGCAGAAGGGACUUAAGCCGGUCCUCCCGCAAUCUGCUAAGCUCUCGUUCAGAAGGGACUUGGUCAUGCCAUCAAUGACGUCUUCAGGUAAGUCGUUGGGGCUGUGCCGAAGAGGAUCAUCCUUCCGGCCCGUGUAAUCACACAUUAAGCCGGGGCGGCGGCUUAGAGGAAUCACCCGCCAAGCAAUCCAGACCCGGACCAGAUCAACGCCGUUAAGGCCGUUUCCCAGAAGAGCUUUGAUUUUGUUGAUGGUGGGGAUAAGUGGUUGACGCUCAGCUUGAGAUAAUUUGUCUCGCAGGGGGUGGUUUGACUCCAGACGCAGGGCGCGAAAGCCGGGCAGAGGGUUCUCAUCAGCCGGAGAAGUAUCCUGGCAGUAAAACCAUGUCUGAUUCUAGUCCUUUGGGUGGCUUGGCGGCUCAGCAUAAGGAAAGAGACAAUCCCUCCGUCGUUGAAUUGAUAUUCCACCAAGUUCCAAGCUAGGCCCGUUGGCGCAUUCAUUCUGGCGGUUCAGGUAAAAUAAUUCCCUAAAGAGUAGCAGGUUGGGUUCCUCUCCAAGGUAUACCUCACAGAACACUUGAAAAUUACAAAUGUUCGACACGGAAUUGGGUCCAAUGUCUUGAGGUCGCAGAUCGAAAAAGUUCAGAACAUCUCUGAAGAAUUUUGAGCCAGGAGGAGCAAAGCCCCGGCUCAUGUGGUCGGCAAAUACAACAACCUCUCCGUCUUUUGUUUGAGGUCUCUCUUCGGACGGGUCAGGCGCACGGUAGGACAUGACCUCCUUUUUGGGCAGGUAACCAGUUUUUACGAAGUCAUCUCAGGUGCUUUCAGUAACGUUGGACCUCACCCAGUUGCACGUAAUGGGUGCCUUGGGAGCCUUGGGCGGCAUUGUGGAAAAUGGAAGCCUAUGACAAAGGAAAAUUUCCGGUUCAAAUUUAAGCCAGAGAAAAUUUUUAGUUCAGUAUUCAGGACGGCGGUUCAUGAAGGGGCCUAAUAAUAUAUGACUAAUUGUGUCAGGUUAAUUAAGCCGCCGUGGGUAUUAUGAGCAAUUUAAGUUAUUUAACUCUAUUAUGAGUAAGCCGGAAAUUUCACAAAGCAUGGCUUCUUUUAAGCCGGCGAUAUGAGCCGCUAUGGCUGACAGACGCAGUUUUUGUCUAAGAGUUGCAUAAACAAGUUUCACAGAUCACAGGGAUUAUUUUGGAUCAAAUGAUCGUCCAGAAAGGAAAAAUUUCUAGACCUAAAAAGCUGAUACAGAGAAGUUCAUAAGCUCUAAACGAGAUCUGUUUGCGGGCAAGAGGGAUCUGCUAGCAUAAGAAUGGGUGAGAAACUACUACCGCAGGAAUUUUGUACCAUUUUCGGAUCAAAAGGAGCCGUGGUGGAGGAACUGUGAAGAACUUGAGAUGAAACUACGAAGAACAGGGGAGAACGACAGAACCCUAAUGCGAAUCUACUGUAUGGAAUGGCAAGGACUUACUGGCGCUAAUGAGCCGUGGAGGUCGCCGUCGUUUCUCUGGACCAGUUCAGGGUGAUGCAGCGGCCGAGGUUGAGGAAGACGAGGUGCGCGGCGGCGGCGGCGGAGCUCGGGCUCUGGAGCGUCAGAGGAGGAAGACGAUGCAGGAGAAGAGUGACGAAGGCUUAUGGGCCGGGCCUAUUUAUAAGGGCCGGCUGGUAAAUAGGCGCGGGAAAAGAGGAGGCGGAAGACAUGAUUAUCUUGCCGCAGAAACGCCUCGAUUUUCGGUAUGGUCUUUAAAGAUAAGAUCCGUUGAGAUAUGACAGAAUAAAAAAUGAAUUUAAUGGAAGAUGACGUCAUGGCGGGUUACCAAGAAUUCAGAAGAUGACGUCACGGCGGGUUAUAACCUUUGCACAAGCGGAAGCCGGAAGAUUUUGAAGAUUUUUGAAGAUUGACAUGAACCGGUUCAAAUCAACCUGGGGCCUAAUGUUGAGGAUAUAACCAUUAGAGUCACCCGCCCAGGAGGGGCCGGGUUACGUCAUAAUGAUCAUCACGUGAAGCCCAGUACCAAGCUUGAGGAUGGCGGAUCAAUAAUGGGCUUAAGACCCGGAGGCGGCUUAAGGCCCGUAGUGAUAACCCGCCGCUAUGGCAAGACUUGUAAUGUAAGGCAAGAGUAGUUAAGAGUCCGAGCCGGAUACUGUUAUGAGCCGGCCGGGACUCUGAGAGCCACGGGGCGUCAACCUCUCUAUAUAAAGGGAUGACCUGGCGGCAGUUCAGGACGAGAGACAACAGAUCGAGAGCCAGGCAUAGCGAUUAGCUCCCUGGUCAUCGAAACCCUAAGUAAUACCACCUCAACUGGACGUAGGCUUUUACCUUCACCGUAAGGGGCCGAACCAGUAUAAUCCUCAUGUUCCUUGUCCCGCUUAACCCCUUUAAGCUUCCUAGCUGCGAUGGCUCCACGACUAAGUCCUUGCACGAGGACAUCUGCCGUGACAAUUCCACGACAGUUUCCAUUAUUUUAUUUAAUCUUUCUUGUGAUCUAUAUGAUCUAAGAAGUAAUAAUUCACUGCUUAUGUAAACACCUCGGUGUACUACUCUAUCAAUAAGACCCUGUUACUAUUGUUGAUAACAUUCCGAUAGCCACCGAUGGACGAGAACCUUGCCUAUUGGUCUGCCUCGUUCAACGAGCAGGAAAAUGGUUCUCUUCGUCCCUCGCCCUUGGUACCAACGUUGUUGCCAACAUAGCUGGCAGGCUACCCUCUAACAUGCCUUGCUAUCAUGACCGUGCAACAUGUCAGCCCCCUUCCUAAUUUUAACCCACAUUGUGGGCCCAUAACCCACAGUUCCACAGGAUCGAAACCUGACUCUCCUGUACAUCCCUGUUCGAAGUUAUCCCUUGCGCUUCGUUUCGUAUGUAAUUUGCGAGCCACCUUCCUAGUGAUCAAUUCUGGUAUCAGACACAAUACUUAUUCCCGUUGCUCUGAACCCCUUUCACACUCUGUUUCAGGCAAUGAACGAUUGCCUAUCCGCUCGAAACUUCUUAUUGCACUGUCCUACUUUGCUCUCAAUGUGUUUCAUUUGUUCAACUCGAGAGAUACUCAUAUGUUCAUUCGUGGGAUAACCCCCGGUGAUUACCCCUGGUAGCGUUCUAUCGUUGUCAAGCUGCCCCUUUCCUAUUCGUAAGUACGAUGGAGAUCCUUAAGAAAGGAUGUCGGCUUCAUCAUGAUGACCUGAAGCAGAGAAGUGAAGACAUCAACAUAGUGGAUAGACCUCUUCGAGAAGCUCUACCAAGACGAGAAGAUCCGUUAGAAUAUCGUAACCAGACCUUUCCCCCUUACUCCCCUUCUUAAAAUCUCGGGACGAGAUUUCUUGUAGUGGAGGAGAAUUGUGACGCCCGGAUAAUUAAGCUACAGUAACUCUCUGCUAAUGGUGCCACGUCACCACGGUUACUGUUGCUAAUCUCGCGUUAGUUCGAAACCGAUUCAAAUUCAAAUUCAAAAUCAAAUCAAACGGUAAAAGUUUUCAAACUUUAAAACUAAAAUGUUUGGGUUGUGCCAGAUAAUGCAUAGGUGAUUAUGGUGGUGAAACCAAACUUUUAUGAAAUGCUUAACUGCACUAAAAUAAUUUAAAUAGUAGCAAACCUAAUUAUUUAAAUGCCUUUACUAAUUAAUAAAGUAUCAAACUAAAUUAUUUGGGGACUAGACUUUUUGUGACAGUGGACUAAACUGAAAUACUAAAUUAGAUGCCAAGUAUAUAUUUUACAAAAAAUAAAACAAUAGGAAACAAAGAUAAAAUAGAAUAAAAUAAAGAAAAUAAAACAAAACAAGAAAUAAUAAUAAAAGAAAGGCCGAAACCCCCCUCUCCCUGGGCCUCUCGGACCAACCGGCAGCCAGCCGGCCCACCCCAUUGCCCCUGGCCUAUAUGGCCUAUUUCCCCACACCCGACCGAAACCCUAACUGCUACCCCCACUCCCCUCGAUCCCCCACUCCCCUUGCUCCCCUCCCCCGUCUGGAUCGGGGCAACCGCACCCCCGACCCCGUCAACGCCGAUGCCGCGCGCCACCUCGCCGGCGCCCCGGUGACCACUGCCGUCACCGGACCUUCCGUGCCUCUCCCUUGCGGGAUCGGCCCGCUCGUCGCGCCGCCCGCGUCGCCCAUCGCCCCUGGACAACGCCGCCACAACCAUGACGUCGUCGACCGCCGGAGCACCACCAGCCACAUCGCCGGAGCUGUCCCGUCGUCCUCUCCGUCGCCGGUGCCGCCUCGCCGGACCUCCCUGACUCCUCCUCGAGCCCGCUUUGCUAGACUACAGGGCUCGGUGAGCCCCGUCCUCCCCUCCUCCUCUUUCCUUGUUCGGUCACCGCGGCAAGUACCGCCACCCGCGCGCCCACGCGCCGGCCUCGCUGGCCUCACCUACUGUUGCCGCCCAUGCCGCUCGCCCGCUGUCGCCGCCCGCGUUCUGCCUCGGCUCCUCGUCGCCCGCUAGGGUCCGGUCGCGCUUGCCCCCUGCUAGCCAUACCCUUUGCCCGCGAGCGCCCGUUGACGCUGGCGCAUGCCCGUCGCUUGCCCCACCUUCCCCUGCACGCGCCCGCCUCGCCGCAUAGCCGCGCCGCGGCCUGNNNNNNNNNNNNNNNNNNNNNNNNNNNNNNNNNNNNNNNNNNNNNNNNNNNNNNNNNNNNNNNNNNNNNNNNNNNNNNNNNNNNNNNNNNNNNNNNNNNNNNNNNNNNNNNNNNNNNNNNNNNNNNNNNNNNNNNNNNNNNNNNNNNNNNNNNNNNNNNNNNNNNNNNNNNNNNNNNNNNNNNNNNNNNNNNNNNNNNNNNNNNNNNNNNNNNNNNNNNNNNNNNNNNNNNNNNNNNNNNNNNNNNNNNNNNNNNNNNNNNNNNNNNGCGGCCUGGCCAAGUGCCAGCGCCCCGCGCAUGACCGCGCCCCUGCUCCCCUUGUCCCGCUCCGCCGCGGCCUCCCGCUGCCGCAUGCCGCCCGGUUAGCGCUGAUGUGCCGCUCCCCACGCGAGGCCCGCACCUUCCCUGGCCGACGCCGUGGCCACCGGCCUCCCCCUGCUCCGGCGCCGCGCCGGAUUUGCCCGCCCCUGGGCGUGCACCCAUUCGGGCUGGCGCCCGUCGCCUGCACGCCCGACCCGCUAGGCCUAUGGGCUUUUGACAUGUGGGGCCCAUGCCCAGAACGUUUUAAAUAAAAAAGAAUUAAAAUAAUAAUAAAUAAAUAAAAUAUCAAUUAAUUUACUUAAUUAACUUAAUUAAUUCUGUUUAAAUUAACUAAUUAAGAUUAAUUAACCUAAUAAUUAGUUAACCUAAUUAACUACUAUUAAUUAGCUAAGCAGUCCCUAACAGGUGGGACCCACCUGUCAGGUUGACCAGGUCAACAUUCAACGUUGACUGCUGACGUCAUGCUGACAUCAUGCUGGCGUCGUAAUUGCCUUUUUCUAAUUAAAUUAAUUCUGUUAAUUCUAGAAAAAGAUAGAAUCAUUUUUAAAUUAAUAUAAAAUGAACCGUAGUUUGGAUGGAAAAACUUUGUACAUGAAAGUUGCUCAGAACGACGAGACGAAUCCGGAUACGCAGCCCGUUCGUCCGCCACACAUCCCUAGCAUAGCAAACACGCAAAUUUCCCCCUCCGGUUCACCUGUCCGAAAACGCAAAACACCGGGGAUACUUUCCCGGAUGUUUCCCCCCUUCGCCGGUAUCGCCUCCUACCGCGUUAGGGCACGCCUAGCACUGUUUGUUGUCUUGUCAUGCAUCGCUAUGCAUCUGUUUGCAUUGUAUUCAUUGUUUCUUCCCCCCUCUUCUCUCCGUUAGACUACGAGACUGACGCCGCUGCUGGUGCCCCGAUCGACUACGUUGUUGACGAACCCUACUUGCCAGAGCAACCAGGAAAGCCCCCCCCUUGAUCACCAAAUAUCACCUAUUCCUUCUCUCUACUGCUUGCAUUAGAGUAGUGUAGCAUGUUACUGCUUUCAGUUAAUCCUAUUCUGCUGCAUAGCCUGUCAUUGUUGCUACAAUUGUUGAUACCUUUACCUGCUAUCCUAAUGCUUAGUAUAGGAUGCUAGUGUUCCAUCAGUGGUCCUACACUCUUGUCCGUCUGCCAUGCUAUACUACUGGGCCGUGAUCACUUCGGGAGGUGAUCACGGGCAUAUACUAUAUACUUUAUACUGUUACAUUACUUAUGAUACUAUUCGGAGAUGGGGGCUGAAGGGGCAGGUGGCUCCAUCCCGGUAGAGGUGGGCCUGGGUUCCCGAUGGCCCUCGACUGAUACUUUGUGGCGGAGCGACAGGGCAGGUUGAGACCACCUAGGAGAGAGGUGGGCCUGGCCCUGGUCGGCGUCCGCGGUACUUCAAAAUAACACGCUUAACGAGUUCUUGGUAUUUGAUCUGAGUCUGGCCAUUUGGUCUAUACGCACUACGCGGGAACGGUUAUGGGCACUCGGCGUCGUGGUAUCAGUCGAAGCCUUCGUGACGUCAGCGACUGAGCGGCGCGCGCCGGAUUGGACUGGAACGCCUGCUAGGCUAGGUCUGCUUUCGGCCGCGUUCGCAACGUGCAGGUGUGCAAUGGGCGAUGGGCCCAGACCCCUGCGCCAUAGGAUUUAGACUGGUGUGCUGACCUCUUUGUUGUGCCUAGGUGGGGCUGCGACGUGUUGAUCUUCCGCGGCCGGGCCUGACCCAGAAAAGUGUGUCCGGCCAAAUGGGAUCGAGCGUGUUGGGUUAUGUGGUGCACCCCUACAGGGAAGUUUAUCUAUUCGAAUAGCCGUGAUCUUCGGUAACAGGACGACUUGGAGUUGUACCUUGACCUUAUGACAACUAGAACCAGAUACUUAAUAAAACACACCCUUCCAAGUGCCGGAUACAACCCGGUGAUCGCUCUCUAACGGGGCGACGAGGAGGGGAUCGCCGGGUAGGAUUAUGCUAUGCGAUGCUACUUGGUGAACUUACCAUAUACUCUCUCCUACAUGCUGCAAGAUGGAGGUGGCCAGAAGCGUAGUCUUCGACAGGAUUAGCUAUCCCCCUUUUAUUCUGGCAUUCUACAGUUCAGUCCACCGAUAUGGCCCUUUACACAUAUACUCAUGCAUAUGUAGUGUAGAUCCUUGCUUGCGAGUACUUUGGAUGAGUACUCACGGUUGCUUUUCUCCCUCUUUUCCCCCUUUCCAUUCUACCUGGUUGUCGCAACCAGAUGCUUGAGCCCAGGAGCCAGACGCCACCGUCGACGACGACUCUUACUACACCGGAGGUGCCUACUACUACGUGCAGGCCGCUGACGACGACCAGGAGUAGUUUAGGAGGAUCCCAGGCAGGAGGCCUGUGCCUCUUUCGAUCUGUAUCCCAGUUUGUGCUAGCCUUCUUAAGGCAAACUUGUUUAACUUAUGUCUGUACUCAGAUAUUGUUGCUUCCGCUGACUCGUCUAUGAUCGAGCAAUUGUAUUCGAGCCCUCGAGGCCCCUGACUUGUAUUAUGAUGCUUGUAUGACUUAUUUUAUUUUUAGAGUUGUGUUGUGAUAUCUUCCCGUGAGUCCCUGAUAUUGAUCGUACACGUUUGUGUGUAUGAUUAGUGUACGAUUGUUAUGAGUAAUUAGAUAGAUUGUCCUGCAUUAAGAUGUGUUACAAGCCAAUAAAACACAAAACAGCACAUGAAGUCACCUAUCGUGCGAGAGAGAAGCAUUAAUAUAUGUAGCAUAAGCAUAAAAACCAUAUAUUGUUAUGAGUAGUCUGAUGUUUCCGCACGUUAAUAAUAUACAAUUUGUUGGCACAAUGAUAGUGCAUCUAGUAAGUUCACACUGAUCAUAAUAAAGCUUCCUAGGAUACGCAUAACAAUGAUAUACACAUGUCAGUGAAACAUAUCAGACCACAAGAUGAUGCCCUAACCUAUUUACUAGGAUUUUGUAUGGCCGCAUGUGUACUUCGCUAAUAAAGCACAAUCAUGUAUAAUCUAAACCUAAUCUAGUCCAUUCGAAUCGAAUUGAAUCUACCUUGAUGGUUGUAUGAGGAGUCCGUCCAAUCUAAUAUAAAUAUUAGCAAGACCCGCAAGCCCAAUCUAGAUCCGAGUGCCAGAAGGGGAACAUGAAAAAAAGUAGAUCUGGAAAAAGGAAAUGGUCGAAUCAAAGGAUAUAAUACCUGGAUGAGGUCGAAGAGGGUGGCAUGGUUAACCUUGAUGAAUUUUGCGUCCCAGAUCUUGAGGUCUUCGGCCAGGGCGGCGGGAG
This 39456-nucleotide long non-coding RNA is filed under the name Triticum aestivum (bread wheat). RNAcentral describes it as "long non-coding RNA (TAES_LNC018398)". The record is from RNAcentral. Lineage: Eukaryota; Viridiplantae; Streptophyta; Magnoliopsida; Poales; Poaceae.